UAAUCAUCAUCAUCAUAAUCAUCAUCUAACA
Molecule: non-coding RNA, 31 nt
Filed under: Vibrio phage 1.083.O._10N.286.52.B9
Lineage: Duplodnaviria; Heunggongvirae; Uroviricota; Caudoviricetes
Source: RNAcentral